GGAGUUAGCCGGUGCUUCUUCUGCGAGUAACGUCACAGAUGUAAGGUAUUAACUUACACCCUUUCCUCCUCGCUGAAAGUGCUUUACAACCCGAAGGCCUUCUUCACACACGCGGCAUGGCUGCAUCAGGGUUUCCCCCAUUGUGCAAUAUUCCCCACUGCUGCCUCCCGUAGGAGUCUGGGCCGUGUCUCAGUCCCAGUGUGGCUGAUCAUCCUCUCAGACCAGCUAGGGAUCGUCGCCUAGGUGAGCCUUUACCUCACCUACUAGCUAAUCCCACCUGGGCUUAUCCAUCAGCGCAAGGCCCGAAGGUCCCCUGCUUUCCCCCGUAGGGCGUAUGCGGUAUUAGCAGUCGUUUCCAACUGUUAUCCCCCACAAAUGGGCAAAUUCCCAGGCAUUACUCACCCGUCCGCCGCUCGUCAUCUUCAAAAGCAAGCUUUUGAAAUGUUACCGCUCGACUUGCAUGUGUUAGGCCUGCCGCCAGCGUUCAAUCUGAGCCAGUANACACACUCGACACGUGACGGCGCGCGACGACGC
RNAcentral lists this ribosomal RNA (534 nucleotides) under uncultured bacterium. Its description in RNAcentral is "partial 16S ribosomal RNA". The record is from RNAcentral.